CGUGUAGGCGGGGAAGUAAGUCGGGCGUGAAAUCCCUAGGCUCAACCUAGGAACUGCACUCGAAACUACUUCUCUUGAGUAUCGGAGAGGAAAGCGGAAUACCUGGUGUAGAGGUGAAAUUCGUAGAUAUCAGGUGGAACACCAGUGGCGAAGGCGGCUUUCUGGACGGUAACUGACGCUGAGACGCGAAAGCGUGGGGAGAAC
Molecule: ribosomal RNA, 204 nt
Filed under: uncultured bacterium
Lineage: Bacteria
Description: partial 16S ribosomal RNA
Rfam family: Bacterial small subunit ribosomal RNA
Source: RNAcentral